This 452-nucleotide ribosomal RNA is filed under the name Klebsiella pneumoniae. RNAcentral describes it as "bacterial SSU rRNA". It matches the Rfam family "Bacterial small subunit ribosomal RNA", at positions 28 to 477 of the family's 1533-position model. Lineage: Bacteria; Pseudomonadati; Pseudomonadota; Gammaproteobacteria; Enterobacterales; Enterobacteriaceae. The record is from RNAcentral.
AGAUGAACGCUGGCGGCAGGCCUAACACAUGCAAGUCGAGCGGUAGCACAGAGAGCUUGCUCUCGGGUGACGAGCGGCGGACGGGUGAGUAAUGUCUGGGAAACUGCCUGAUGGAGGGGGAUAACUACUGGAAACGGUAGCUAAUACCGCAUAACGUCGCAAGACCAAAGUGGGGGACCUUCGGGCCUCAUGCCAUCAGAUGUGCCCAGAUGGGAUUAGCUAGUAGGUGGGGUAACGGCUCACCUAGGCGACGAUCCCUAGCUGGUCUGAGAGGAUGACCAGCCACACUGGAACUGAGACACGGUCCAGACUCCUACGGGAGGCAGCAGUGGGGAAUAUUGCACAAUGGGCGCAAGCCUGAUGCAGCCAUGCCGCGUGUGUGAAGAAGGCCUUCGGGUUGUAAAGCACUUUCAGCGGGGAGGAAGGCGGUGAGGUAAUAACCACGGCGAGAG